GAAACAAUUGAUGUAUAUUACUUUAUUGAAGAAAAUUAUAUAUCCACCGUGAAUUACAAAGCAAGAAGUAAGGUAGCUAUGCAUACAAUUGAUGUGGAUCACUUUAUUGAAAAAGAAAUCAUAUAUCUACCGUGAAUUACCAUGGGGAGGUAUCGACAGUAGGGCCAAGGGUUGAAAAUCUCAACAAGUUCAAAAGUAGCAACGAAGAUUUCCUCCUCCAAAGGUUUCAGGUUCGAUUUAUUAUGCUAAUUUCGUUGAACUUAUGAGCUUGCUCUGGCUUUAAACGGGACCCUCACAAGUGGGCGGGAUUGGUCCUUUUAAAUUAGUCGAUUCUUGAAUCGGGAUCGGAUACCGAAUUUAAAAAAAAAAAAAGAAACAACGAAGAUUUCCCAACAUUAGUUUGCACGGACCUGGCCGCUAGAGGUAAAACUGCACGUAUGGAUGCAAAAGGGAAAAUAACAAGUUUAGUUACUAAAAAGGACUAUAGCUUGGCAACCAAAAUAGAGGAGGCAAUAAAAAAGAAUGAGAAUUUGGAGGCUAUCACACAUAUAAAAUAAAACAUUGUUCUACCUAAAAAAAAAUCUUUCAUAAUUUUUAAACGUUAGCGCAAUAAAAAGAGCGGAAAGACGGGCACGUGGGUGUCCGUCUUUUCUCUGAUAAUUUAUUAAGUUUAGAGAUUCAAAUUCUCUAAACACUGGUUUAUAUGAACUUUUAGUUCAUUCAUCUUGACUACAAAAUAUAAAAUUGUCUAAUCAUAUAACUUUGAAAUUAAGUCCAAGUUACUCAAAUUUAAAAUUAAACGCUUGUUUACAUGAUAAAUUUUGGAGCGGUGCUAUUCUUCCCGACAGAAUAGACCACGAAUUUCUCAGGAAACUUGUUUUUAGUUAUAAUUUGGUCAAAUAGAAAAAAGCAGAAAUGGCGGCAAUAAAGGCGGAAGGGUGAUAUGUAGUUAUAUACACAGAUCGGGAUGAUUUCGGGAUAAACUCUUUCGGUAUAAAUAUCAUUAUCCUAAAUUUUGAUAUGUCAAAUAUUAAAAUCACACAACUUAUAAAAUAGAAGGAAAAUUUUAAUUUUGAACAUACCAUAAAAGGACAGUCUUUUCCCACAAAAAUGCAUGUCUUAAUUUUUUUUUUUUGAAUCAUCUUUAUCUUAUUCAGUAGAAAUCUGAAAUUCGAAUUCUUUCUUAUUUUUUGAGUAGCUAACUUCUAAGUUUUAGCACUCCCUAUCGAACUAAAAUCAUCCUAAUUCCUUUAACCGAUUAACCAAGGGCCCAAAUUUAAGAAUAUUAAAUUUGCGCAUUUUUCCAAAUGGUUAUUUUAGAAUAGUAUAGAACAAUGCACUAAAGUAACAACCGAAUCCAUCUCAACUAAUUGCAUCCCAAGAAAUUAUUAGCAUAUUACCAUCCAUUCUUUAAUAGUCACCAAAAUAAGAGGUUCGCUGCAGAUGUUGGCUUUUCAAUAGCAAGAAUGACGUACAUAGGGUUCAUACUUUUAUGUAAUUGCCUAAAAAUUCUUUAGCAACCACAUAAGUCACAUUCCUACUAAACAUGAAUGAAAGGUACACAAGCCAUGUGGCAUGAAAUGGUUCAAACGGCUUUUAAUGUCAAAUAAGAUCAAUAUUGUUCUCGGAUGGAUUUUAGUGUUGUUGUUUAAAAACAACAAGCACUUUGUCAUUUC
This 1676-nucleotide long non-coding RNA is filed under the name Medicago truncatula (barrel medic). RNAcentral's name for it is "long non-coding RNA (MTRU_LNC007122)". The record is from RNAcentral. Lineage: Eukaryota; Viridiplantae; Streptophyta; Magnoliopsida; Fabales; Fabaceae.